CCUGCAUUCAAGAAACGUGAUACUCAAGUUUGUGAACUUGGCCUGCAAGUAGAAGAUAUAAUCAAAAUUACUAUACUUGCUUUCCAAGUUUAGUAAUUUUUUUGUUUAUAUAAAGAAAAUGAGUUGGAAAUAAAGAAACAUAGAGAAAACUUCUUUUAGUCUGUAUUCUGCAGCAACCACAAAUGACAGAGCAAAUAAGAAGCAACGGAUGCGUCUAUUCUGCUUUAUUUUCUCUCCCUUGCAGAUCAGGUUUUUUAUGAGUCGACCUAUGUUUUAUUGAUUCUAAAUAUGUACGGAUUUUGUGUGUUCAAAGCUGGAUGUCUCUUUAUUUUCGUUUCUGUUUUACAAAAUAAUUAUAUUCAUAUCGAUGGUUAUUAGAAGUAAACUGCAGUAUUCUUGUGAUUUAUGUGUAUCAGUUCAUAUUAUAAGUUAUUUUAUGCAUGUAUACAAUUGAUAUUAUAAGUUAUUUUAUGCACGUAUAAUGUUUUCUUAUGGAAACAACUGAAUAAUAUCCGAUGUGAAAAAAAACAUAAAUUUGGCAAAUAGCAACACUAUUUGAAACUGUAUAGCAAAAUAAAUAUUUGCAAAUUUUUUAGAAAAAAAUUAAAUUAUUUAGUAAAUUAAAUUCAUUUCAGUGAUUUUAAAUUCUAAUUAUUUAAAUAUAAAAAAAAAUAGUUUCAGGAGAGGGAUAUGUUAAUUUUGUUUUGAAAUAUCAACAUUUUUUUUUGGAUAAAUGAUCAUUAUAUUAGCAUAACCACAAAGGCGUGGAAGACAAACGUCUUUACGAAAAAGACAAUCUAGACAUAAUUACAGAAAAAAGAUAAAUCAUUUUCAAAAACAUCAACAUUUUAAAAUGGUUUUCUAUGAUAUCAUUUUAAUUUAUUUGAUGUAGUAAUUUUCUUUUAUUGAUUAAUCUAAAAAUAAUAGUUUCAGAAGGGAUAUGUUAGUUUGUUUUGAAAUAUUUACAUUUUAAAAUGAUUUUCUAUGAUAUGAUCUUAAUUUAUUUUAUUUAGUAGUUUUUAUUUUUUUAUUGGUUAAAUCUUAGUAAGAAUAAUCGAGGGUCUCUUUUUUAAAACUCCUAUCCUUGCUAAUAAUUUCGACAAAACCAACUAUACUAUUUGAUCUCUUUUAGUAAUUUUUUUUUUAUUUCUGAUUAAAAAGACCAAUUUUUUCAAUCUAUUUUUAGAUAAAAAAAAACAGUGCUAAUUUAUGCUGUUUUUAUUUAUUCUUCACACUGACGUUUACUAAAUAUUAAAAACCUUCCUUUAUGUUUUAUUUACACAGAAACCUUUAUGAAUAAUACAUUUUUAGACCUCUUUUAGUAAACGCUGUAAAUACAUUAAUAAAAGAUUUGCAUAUGAAUUUUAAAGUUAUCUUAUGAACUUAGCCUCCAAGUCAAAGAUAAAUAUGCCUACACUUACUUGCAAAGUUUAGCAGAUAACAAUAUACGUAUGCUUGCUGGCCAAGUUAAAAGCGUAAUCUAUUAAUAUACAAAUCAGUUGUAUGGCAUAGAAUAGGUUUAUUUUUUACCAUGUGACUUCUAUUGAGUAGCAUUUUUUUUUAGCCAUGAAACAAAUCAAUUUUAUCAGAGCUGAGGAAGAAGUUAAGUUGUGAUAUUAUAAAUUCCCAAUCAGUCCGAACAAAGGUUGAACAACAGAGAAUGCUGCUGGUCUACCGGUUGGCCAAGAUUUACAUGGUCUCCAAACUUAUAGACCUCGCUCACUUUCCAUUUUCAGUCAUGUUUGAAUGCACGUUGACACAGAAUUCAAGAAGAUGUCUAGACGUUGAAUGAUCUGUUAGAUUGGGUGUGGAUGGGACAUUUCGGCUAUUAGAGAGGCAAAUAUCCUACCAGUUGAAUAUGCGGCUGGAGUUGAAUAUGCGGCUGGUGGUUGACGGCAGCAAAGGCUUUGGUUUACUUUUUAUGUUUAGGGCAAAUGUAAAUUAAGCUAUAAUAUAUAUAAGUAUAUAACUUUGUUUGGACAAUUGAAAUUCUAUUUAAUAGGAAUCAACAACUCUGAUUAAUAAUUUAA
Long non-coding RNA from Mercurialis annua (annual mercury), 2030 nucleotides. RefSeq lists it as uncharacterized. The transcript is spliced from 2 exons. Lineage: Eukaryota; Viridiplantae; Streptophyta; Magnoliopsida; Malpighiales; Euphorbiaceae. The record is from RefSeq and is a predicted model, not a curated record.